Molecule: ribosomal RNA, 148 nt
Filed under: Bayadera brevicauda
Lineage: Eukaryota; Metazoa; Arthropoda; Insecta; Odonata; Euphaeidae
Also listed under: 3 other names
Description: 5.8S ribosomal RNA
Rfam family: 5.8S ribosomal RNA
About the family: 5.8S ribosomal RNA (5.8S rRNA) is a component of the large subunit of the eukaryotic ribosome. It is transcribed by RNA polymerase I as part of the 45S precursor that also contains 18S and 28S rRNA. Functionally, it is thought that 5.8S rRNA may be involved in ribosome translocation.
Source: RNAcentral
CGGUGGAUCACUCGGCUCGUGGAUCGAUGAAGGACGCAGCAAACUGCGCGUCGAAUUGUGAACUGCAGGACACAUGAACAUCGACGCUUCGAACGCUCAUUGCAGCCCACGGAUUCUGUUCCCGGGCUACGCCUGGCUGAGGGCCGGC